UACGUAGGGUCCGAGCGUUGUCCGGAAUUACUGGGCGUAAAGCGCGCGCAGGCGGUCUUCCAAGUCAGUGGUGAAAGCCUGGAGCUCAACUCCAGAACUGCCAUUGAAACUGUUAGACUUGAGUACGAGAGAGGUGAGUGGAAUUCCCAGUGUAGAGGUGAAAUUCGUAGAUAUUGGGAAGAACACCGGUGGCGAAGGCGGCUCACUGGCUCGUAACUGACGCUCAGGCGCGACAGCGUGGGGAUCAAACAGG
RNAcentral lists this ribosomal RNA (253 nucleotides) under uncultured bacterium. Its description in RNAcentral is "partial 16S ribosomal RNA". It matches the Rfam family "Bacterial small subunit ribosomal RNA", at positions 524 to 776 of the family's 1533-position model. The record is from RNAcentral.